GUUUUUGUGUGAUGGAUCCCUGCUCGGGCAGCGACAUCAUAUCAUCCGCGUCUCUUCAGUUGUAGGCGUGAGCAUUUGCUCGCCCGACAUUGGCUUUCCUGUGCUGAAUACCCGCGUUGAAGGCAUGCUGUCGGAUAAAUUUUCCUUUCCCGCUCGGUGCYGCUGCUCCUCGUGGGCAAGCGGUGCGGGGUGGGCCAAAUAGCRCACGUCGUGUGUCCCUUCCCAUUUGCAUUUUAAAAGUGCGUUUGGGCGGACGAUGCACGGCAUGUUGCUCGGUCUCUCGGGUACGGAAUAUCGUGUGGGUACGGGGCCAUCGGCCUCGGAGCACCACAAAUAAGCGUUAUACGCUUCGUGCGAACGACUGUCUUCUCGGCUUCCGGUUGUGCUCUCGUGGCUCAGUUCGGAUCCGUGACGACGUCGAUGAGGAAUGCUACCU
RNAcentral lists this unclassified non-coding RNA (436 nucleotides) under Satureja thymbra. RNAcentral's name for it is "partial external transcribed spacer". Lineage: Eukaryota; Viridiplantae; Streptophyta; Magnoliopsida; Lamiales; Lamiaceae. The record is from RNAcentral.